Molecule: long non-coding RNA, 182 nt
Organism: Solanum tuberosum (potato)
Lineage: Eukaryota; Viridiplantae; Streptophyta; Magnoliopsida; Solanales; Solanaceae
Exons: 3
Source: RefSeq, a predicted model, not a curated record
AUUUGACACAUAUCUUCAUUCUAGAUUCAAGAAAUUACCCUCUCACUUAAUUUCAUCCUUUCAGUCUGUGACCAAAGAAGAUAUUUUCAAUGAUACAAAUUAUUGGAUCCGUAUGAAGCUCCAGAUGUCUAGAAGGUUAAAGAAGUGUUGGACCAUUUUAAAGGUUUGCUUGCAAGUGAAAC